RNAcentral lists this ribosomal RNA (157 nucleotides) under Pleurostoma richardsiae. RNAcentral describes it as "5.8S ribosomal RNA". It matches the Rfam family "5.8S ribosomal RNA". Rfam says of the family: 5.8S ribosomal RNA (5.8S rRNA) is a component of the large subunit of the eukaryotic ribosome. It is transcribed by RNA polymerase I as part of the 45S precursor that also contains 18S and 28S rRNA. The record is from RNAcentral. Lineage: Eukaryota; Fungi; Ascomycota; Sordariomycetes; Calosphaeriales; Pleurostomataceae.
AAACUUCAACAACGGAUCUCUUGGUUCUGGCAUCGAUGAAGAACGCGGCGAAAUGCGGUACGUAAUGUGAAUUGCAGAAUUCAGUGAAUCAUCGAAUCUUUGAACGCACAUUGCGCCCGCCAGCAUUCUGGCGGGCAUGCCUGUUCGAGCGUCAUUU